Long non-coding RNA from Drosophila yakuba, 1620 nucleotides. RefSeq lists it as uncharacterized. The transcript is spliced from 2 exons. The record is from RefSeq and is a predicted model, not a curated record. NCBI's taxonomy places the organism in Eukaryota, Metazoa, Arthropoda, Insecta, Diptera, Drosophilidae.
UGAACGUGCCUGUUUUACAAAACAAACAAACCCACCAAAAGUCAUGGGGAGUCUUUGGGUUGGUCGGUGUUGGGGCACAACUGUUUGCGUUGCAACAUCGCGACCGUAAUCGAAUCACCACAAAGGUGGCAAAGGAACAAUGGCGCCGUCUUCGUUGCCGCUUGGAAAAUUAAUUUUACUACAGGCAAAACUCCGUAUCACGGACAUAAUUCACCUUACCAUGUUUAUUGUUUAAGACUUAUACAUUCUUUACAACAUAUUACAACUUUAAGUGCCGCCUUCGGUGUUAUUGAAGGAUUUAAUAUGCAGCCCAACAUUCGUGUUCCCAUUGCUGUUGUAAUUUAUCUGUUGACAGGAUCUCUUUAUAAUAGUGUUGGUUCAUAAUUAAUAGAAACUCGUCUAUAAAGUACCUAAAUAAGCAUUAAUUAGGGCAAUCCCUGCACUCAGACAGGUAAUGCUUUAGUUCUCGACACAACGGGUCGUUCAACUCAACAAACAAAACUUAAAAAGAGGCGUUUCAAAAAGCAGUAAGUGCAGCACUCAAUGAAUCAAAUGAAUUGUGCAAAUAUUUCUCCAGGCAACGUUUUUAACUUUGCACACGCCACUGAACAAACCCAUUAAGGACGUACUAUUGAUCAUCAAACGACAUGAGGGUAAGCGCAAGCGUUCCAAAAAUCCUAUUAAAGCAAAAGUGUCACACUCAAAUAUUUACACAAGUGUCCGCGUAUGAGUGUUAUUUUGGUGGUGAAACCUAGCACAAAAUAUAUCGGAUAUGAAACAUGAUGAUUAUUAUUUGCAUACCAGUAAGAAAAAUAAUAAUAGGUUGGCUUGUUCAUGUCAAAGAAGUUCAAUCCGCUAUCCUAACCAGUAGAAUUCAGUUUAGAGAAGACCAGUCCUUAUCUUGACCAAACUAUCCACAUAUUCAUUUUUUUAUUAGCAUCAACAGCACGGUAACUGUACCACACGGGAAAUCUAAAGGCAUUCACAAAAAGUCCAAAAAGGGACACGUGUCGCCUUUGAAAAUUUGUCAAGUUCAGGCAGCACGCGACCUGGAAAUUCGAUAAAAACUGAACGACACCCACACCCAAAGAUUGUGUUGUUGCUCUGGUGACCCGACUUUUCCAGGAAGGGAACUAAAUUAAUUGCCACGCCGGGCGGCUGACUUUCGGAGACAAGAUCAUAAAACAAACUCUCAUCAUCAAGUGAGGGCGUCAUAAAAAGUAGUUUUAUUUCAGGAGGAAUACAAAUUAUAAAUUAUCACCCUGCCGUCAGCGGGUGGAUUGUGAAACUGUGCACCACUAUCGCUAUCGAAGAACAGGGCGCCCGAACCACCGCAAAAACCUCGCACAAAACCCGCUUGAGGUCCUUCCGGUUCCUGAUUUUUUGGUUCUCAGGCCACCCCCCACAGUUUUAUGCGGUAGUUGCAAUUUGGUCCAAUUGGUGGUCAAAAUGACGCAGCAGUGAGCGGCUCAAAACUAUCAGUCUGUGGCAAAAUGAUUCGAUUCGACGCUGUUCCAUUCUAACCCCCGCCAAACAGUGGGACAUUUUACUUUGUAAUGUGAAAUCAAUAAGUUGGCCAUUAAAUGCACGCUAGUCACGUAAGGCAAUUGAUAUCAUGUA